GCUUCUAUGACGUUAGCGGCGGACGGGUGAGUAACACGUGGGCAACCUGCCUGUAAGACUGGGAUAACUUCGGGAAACCGAAGCUAAUACCGGAUAGGAUCUUCUCCUUCAUGGGAGAUGAUUGAAAGAUGGUUUCGGCUAUCACUUACAGAUGGGCCCGCGGUGCAUUAGCUAGUUGGUGAGGUAACGGCUCACCAAGGCAACGAUGCAUAGCCGACCUGAGAGGGUGAUCGGCCACACUGGGACUGAGACACGGCCCAGACUCCUACGGGAGGCAGCAGUAGGGAAUCUUCCGCAAUGGACGAAAGUCUGACGGAGCAACGCCGCGUGAGUGAUGAAGGCUUUCGGGUCGUAAAACUCUGUUGUUAGGGAAGAACAAGUACGAGAGUAACUGCUCGUACCUUGACGGUACCUAACCAGAAAGCCACGGCUAACUACGUGCCAGCAGCCGCGGUAAUACGUAGGUGGCAAGCGUUAUCCGGAAUUAUUGGGCGUAAAGCGCGCGCAGGCGGUUUCUUAAGUCUGAUGUGAAAGCCCACGGCUCAACCGUGGAGGGUCAUUGGAAACUGGGGAACUUGAGUGCAG
This 585-nucleotide ribosomal RNA is filed under the name Priestia aryabhattai B8W22. RNAcentral describes it as "bacterial SSU rRNA". It matches the Rfam family "Bacterial small subunit ribosomal RNA", at positions 80 to 651 of the family's 1533-position model. Lineage: Bacteria; Bacillati; Bacillota; Bacilli; Caryophanales; Bacillaceae. The record is from RNAcentral.